Molecule: ribosomal RNA, 376 nt
Filed under: uncultured eukaryote
Lineage: Eukaryota
Description: partial 18S ribosomal RNA
Rfam family: Eukaryotic small subunit ribosomal RNA
Source: RNAcentral
CAAUAGCGUAUAUUAAUGUUGUUGCAGUUAAAAGCUCGUAGUUGGAUUUCUGAUGAGAGCCCUGGUCACUUUAACGAGUGUACUGAUGUGGCGUCUGGUCGUUUCAUGGGGAUGCUUGCUGGUAUUAAGUUAUCGGCUUGUGGAUCCAUGUCGUUUACUGUGAAAAAAUUAGAGUGUUCAAAGCAGGCCAUCGCUGUGAAUACAUUAGCAUGGAAUAAUAAGAUAGGACUGUGGUGCUAUUUUGUUGGUUUGCGUACUACGGUAAUGAUUAAUAGGGAUAGUUGGGGGUAUUCAUAUUCAAUUGUCAGAGGUGAAAUUCUUGGAUUUAUGGAAGAUGAACUACUGCGAAAGCAUUUACCAAGGAUGUUUUCAUUAA